GCGGAGGAAAAGAAACCAACAGGGAUUGCUCUAGUAACGGCGAGUGAAGCAGCAAUAGCUCAAAUUUGAAAUCUGGCGUCUUCGGCGUCCGAGUUGUAAUUUGUAGAGGAUGCUUCUGAGUAACCACCGACCUAAGUUCCUUGGAACAGGACGUCAUAGAGGGUGAGAAUCCCGUAUGCGGUCGGAAAGGUGCUCUAUACGUAGCUCCUUCGACGAGUCGAGUUGUUUGGGAAUGCAGCUCUAAAUGGGAGGUAAAUUUCUUCUAAAGCUAAAUAUUGGCCAGAGACCGAUAGCGCACAAGUAGAGUGAUCGAAAGAUGAAAAGCACUUUGGAAAGAGAGUUAAAAAGCACGUGAAAUUGUUAAAAGGGAAGGGAUUGCAACCAGACUUGCUCGCGGUGUUCCGCCGGUCUUCUGACCGGUCUACUCGCCGCGUUGCAGGCCAGCAUCGUCUGGUGCCGCUGGAUAAGACUUGAGGAAUGUAGCUCCCUCGGGAGUGUUAUAGCCUCUUGUGAUGCAGCGAGCGCCGGGCGAGGUCCGCGCUUCGGCUAGGAUGCUGGCGUAAUGGUCGUAAUCCGCCCGUCUUGAAACACGGACCAAGGAGUCUAACAUCUAUGCGAGUGUUCGGGUGUCAAACCCCUACGCGUAAUGAAAGUGAACGGAGGUGAGAACCGCAAGGUGCAUCAUCGACCGAUCCUGAUGUCUUCGGAUGGAUUUGAGUAAGAGCAUAGCUGUUGGGACCCGAAAGAUGGUGAACUAUGCCUGAAUAGGGUGAAGCCAGAGGAAACUCUGGUGGAGGCUCGCAGCGGUUCUGACGUGCAAAUCGAUCGUCAAAUUUGGGUAUAGGGGCGAAAGACUAAUCGAACCAUCUAGUAGCUGGUUCCUGCCGAAGUUCCCCUCAG
RNAcentral lists this small RNA (900 nucleotides) under Cladosporium subuliforme. RNAcentral describes it as "eukaryotic LSU rRNA". It matches the Rfam family "Eukaryotic large subunit ribosomal RNA", at positions 50 to 976 of the family's 3401-position model. Lineage: Eukaryota; Fungi; Ascomycota; Dothideomycetes; Cladosporiales; Cladosporiaceae. The record is from RNAcentral.